GUGUCCGUAGCUCAGUUGGAUAGAGCAGUGAACUCCUACUUCACAGGCCACUGGUUCAAAUCCAGUCGGACACG
RNAcentral lists this transfer RNA (74 nucleotides) under Terriglobia bacterium. RNAcentral describes it as "tRNA-Arg". It matches the Rfam family "tRNA". Rfam says of the family: Transfer RNA (tRNA) molecules are approximately 80 nucleotides in length. Their secondary structure includes four short double-helical elements and three loops (D, anti-codon, and T loops). Further hydrogen bonds mediate the characteristic L-shaped molecular structure. tRNAs have two regions of fundamental functional importance: the anti-codon, which is responsible for specific mRNA codon recognition, and the 3' end, to which the tRNAs corresponding amino acid is attached (by aminoacyl-tRNA synthetases). tRNAs cope with the degeneracy of the genetic code in two manners: having more than one tRNA (with a specific anti-codon) for a particular amino acid; and 'wobble' base-pairing, i.e. permitting non-standard base-pairing at the 3rd anti-codon position. The record is from RNAcentral. Lineage: Bacteria; Pseudomonadati; Acidobacteriota; Terriglobia.